AGAGUUUGAUCCUGGCUCAGAACGAACGUUGGCGGCGUGGUUAAGGCAUGCAAGUCGAACGAUCUUAUUGAGUUUUAAGGCCGCAAGGCCAAGAGACUUGAUUUGAUAGUGGCAAAAGGGUGAGGAAUACGUGGGUAAUCUACCUUCGGGACGGGGAUAACACUCCGAAAGGAGUGCUAAUACCGGGUAAGACCACGGCUCCGCAUGGAGCUGCGGUAAAAGAUGGGGACCGUAAGGCCUAUCGUCUGAAGAGGAGCCCAUGUCCUAUCAGCUAGUUGGCGGGGUAACGGCCCACCAAGGCUUUUGACGGGUAGCUGGUCUGAGAGGAUGGUCAGCCACACUGGGACUGAGACACUGCCCAGACUCCUACGGGAGGCUGCAGUCGAGAAUCUUUCGCAAUGGACGAAAGUCUGACGAUGCGACGCCGCGUGAGGGAUGAAGGUCUUCGGAUCGUAAACCUCUGUCACACGGGAAGAACGUCCUAUGGGUGAAUAACCCUGUGGGCUGACUGUACUGUGAGAGGAAGCCCCGGCUAACUCCGUGCCAGCAGCCGCGGUAAUACGGAGGGGGCAAACGUUGUUCGGAUUUAUUGGGUGUAAAGGGUGUGUAGGCGGGCUUGUAAGUCGGAUGUGAAAUACUAUAGCUUAACUAUAGAACUGCAUUCGAAACUGCUUGUCUUGAGUUUGGGAGAGGAGAGUGGAAUUCUCGGUGUAAGGGUGAAAUCUGUAGAUAUCGAGAGGAACACCAGUGGCGAAAGCGACUCUCUGGACCAAAACUGACGCUGAAACACGAAAGCUAGGGGAGCAAACAGGAUUAGAUACCCUGGUAGUCCUAGCCGUAAACGAUGAUCACUUGGUGCUGGGUCCUUAGGGCUCAGUGCCGAAGUUAACACAUUAAGUGAUCCACCUGGGGACUACGGCCGCAAGGUUGAAACUCAAAGAAAUUGACGGGGACCCGCACAAGCGGUGGAGCAUGUGGUUUAAUACGACGCUACACGUGGAACCUUACCAGGGCUUGAAAAGUGCAUGAAAUCUUCAUGAAAGUGGAGACCUCCUUUCCGGGACAUGCAUACAGGUGUUGCAUGGCUGUCGUCAGUUCGUGUCGUGAGAUGUUGGGUUAAGUCCCGCAACGAGCGCAACCAUCGUCCUUAGUUGCCAUCGGUUCGGCCGGGCACUCUAAGGAGACUGCCGGCGAUAAGCUGGAGGAAGGCGGAGAUGACGUCAAGUCAGUACGGCCCUUACGUCCUGGGCUACACACGUGCUACAAUGGUCGGUACAGCGGGCUGCAAAACAGUAAUGUUGAGCUAAUCCCAAAAGCCGGCCUCAGUUCAGAUUGAGGGCUGCAACUCGCCCUCAUGAAGCUGGAAUCGCUAGUAACGGCAUAUCAGACACGGUGCCGUGAAUACGUUCCCGGGUCUUGUACACACCGCCCGUCAAGUCACCUGAGUUGACUGCACCCGAAGUCGCUGACCCAACCCGCAAGGGAAGGAGGCGCCGAAGGUGUGGUUGGCAAGGAGGACUAAGUCGUAACAAGGUAACC
Molecule: ribosomal RNA, 1539 nt
Filed under: uncultured bacterium
Lineage: Bacteria
Description: bacterial SSU rRNA
Rfam family: Bacterial small subunit ribosomal RNA
Source: RNAcentral